Molecule: unclassified non-coding RNA, 329 nt
Filed under: soil metagenome
Description: partial contains 5.8S ribosomal RNA, internal transcribed spacer 2, and large subunit ribosomal RNA
Rfam family: 5.8S ribosomal RNA (bases 1-120)
Source: RNAcentral
GAUGAAGAACGCAGCGAAAUGCGAUAAGUAAUGUGAAUUGCAGAAUUCAGUGAAUCAUCGAAUCUUUGAACGCACAUUGCGCCCUCUGGUAUUCCUGGGGGCAUGCCUGUUCGAGCGUCAUUAUAACCACUCAAGCUCUCGCUUGGUAUUGGGGUUCGCGGUUCCGCGGCCCCUAAAAUCAGUGGCGGUGCCUGUCGGCUCUACGCGUAGUAAUACUCCUCGCGAUUGAGUCCGGUAGGUCUACUUGCCAGCAACCCCCAAUUUUUACAGGUUGACCUCGGAUCAGGUAGGGAUACCCGCUGAACUUAAGCAUAUCAAUAAGCGGAGGA